GGUUGCGUGGUGUAGUUGGUUAUCACAUGCCCUUCACACGGGCAAGGUCACCGGUUCGAUCCCGGUCGGAACCA
This 74-nucleotide transfer RNA is filed under the name Homolaphlyctis polyrhiza JEL 142. RNAcentral describes it as "tRNA-Val (CAC) (tRNA-Val-CAC-1-1)". It matches the Rfam family "tRNA". From Rfam's summary of the family: Transfer RNA (tRNA) molecules are approximately 80 nucleotides in length. Their secondary structure includes four short double-helical elements and three loops (D, anti-codon, and T loops). Lineage: Eukaryota; Fungi; Chytridiomycota; Chytridiomycetes; Rhizophydiales. The record is from RNAcentral.